Molecule: non-coding RNA, 113 nt
Organism: Acanthosepion pharaonis
Lineage: Eukaryota; Metazoa; Mollusca; Cephalopoda; Sepiida; Sepiidae
Source: the annotation of a GenBank genome assembly
UUACGGCCAUAUCAUAUUAGACACGGGUUUCAUUACGAUCACCGAAGUUAAGCAAUGUCGAGCCUGGUCGGAACUUAGAUGGGCGACCGCUUGAGAAUAGCAGGUGUUGUAAG